UGCGCAGGCGGGGAUGUAAAUCAGUGGUGAAAUACUGCCGCUCAACGGUAGAACUGCCAUUGAUACUGCAUCUCUUGAGUAUGGUUGAGGUAGGCGGAAUGUGUUGUGUAGCGGUGAAAUGCAUAGAUAUGACACAGAACGCCAAUUGCGAAGGCAGCUUACUAAGCCAUUACUGACGCUGAGGCACGAAAGCGUGGGGAGCGAACAGGAUUAGAUACCCUGGUAGUCC
This 229-nucleotide ribosomal RNA is filed under the name uncultured bacterium. RNAcentral's name for it is "partial 16S ribosomal RNA". It matches the Rfam family "Bacterial small subunit ribosomal RNA", at positions 568 to 796 of the family's 1533-position model. The record is from RNAcentral.